CCUACGGGUGGCAGCAGUCGAGAAUCAUUCACAAUGGGGGAAACCCUGAUGGUGCGACGCCGCGUGGGGGAAUGAAGGUCUUCGGAUUGUAAACCUCUGUCAUGUGGGAGCAAAUUAAAAAGAUAGUACCACAAGAGGAAGAGACGGCUAACUCUGUGCCAGCAGCCGCGGUAAUACAGAGGUCUCAAGCGUUGUUCGGAAUCACUGGGCGUAAAGCGUGCGUAGGCUGUUUCGUAAGUCGUGUGUGAAAGGCGCGGGCUCAACCCGCGGACGGCACAUGAUGCUGCGAGACUAGAGUGAUGGAGAGGUAACCGGAAUUCUCGGUGUAGCAGUGAAAUGCGUAGAUAUCGAGAAGAACACUCGUGGCGAAGGCGGGUUCCUGGACAUUAACUGACGCUGAGGCACGAAGGCCAGGGGAGCGAAAGGGAUUAGAUACCCGUGUAGUC
RNAcentral lists this ribosomal RNA (446 nucleotides) under uncultured bacterium. RNAcentral describes it as "partial 16S ribosomal RNA". It matches the Rfam family "Bacterial small subunit ribosomal RNA", at positions 338 to 795 of the family's 1533-position model. The record is from RNAcentral.